UCCAACCCGAAAUUCAACCGAACCGGAGAUCCCGAACUCGAGUACCUCUCCAAAUUCACAGUCAGCGGACUCUGGACUCUUUGCUACACCAAUCCUGGAGAGACGGAACGCUACUGUUUCAACAUCGAUUAUUUCCCAACGGAAGAGUACAGUCCCGAUCCCAAUGACUCGACACUCUCAAUCCCUUAUGCGGUCUUGAGGUCGGCUCCGUUCUUUUUCAUGGCCACUGUUGGUCGUCGGAGAGAUUUUCUGUUUCCUCGGCCACUUUGCACCUAGGAGACGCUAUUGCACUUUUCUAUCCGGCGUCAAUUUGAUCCUUUCCGGUAUUUUAUUUCGAUUGGAAUUAUUUUUUAAAUUUUGAUCAAGUUUAUUUUUGUUUUUAAAUUUUUUAUUCAGGAUUGUUACUUUUACUCGGUCUGGUUGUUUACGUCUCGGUUUUCACGGCUGAAAUCGGAAGUAAAUUAAGGCCCAGCUCAUCAUUACAACCGCCAAUGUUCACCUACACCUACGGCUACAGUUUCCAUGUGGUAGUCAUCGGUUUCUUAGCUGGCAAGGUAUUUUCAUAACCAUCAUUUUAUACAUUUAAAUUGAUUUUAAAUUAUACCAU
Daphnia pulicaria is the source of this 607-nucleotide long non-coding RNA. RefSeq lists it as uncharacterized. Lineage: Eukaryota; Metazoa; Arthropoda; Branchiopoda; Diplostraca; Daphniidae. The record is from RefSeq and is a predicted model, not a curated record. The transcript has 3 exons.